GCACUAGAAGACACACUAAACUAUAGGUGAGAAGAUGCUUUCUUAAAACAUUAAAAAUAACAACAAGAACAACUCAAGUCAAGCAGGAAGUUUUAUGUCAACAAACUAGUGCACAAUUAUAUUUUAAGGAUUAUGAAUUAAGUGUGCAACUUGUUUGUACUUUCUUCUUGAACUAUGUUGCUUAUGAAGAAAAAGGUUUGAAAGGACUAAUACAUCAUCAAAACUAAAACUAG
Pteropus vampyrus (large flying fox) is the source of this 233-nucleotide non-coding RNA. The record is from Rfam. NCBI's taxonomy places the organism in Eukaryota, Metazoa, Chordata, Mammalia, Chiroptera, Pteropodidae.